RNAcentral lists this ribosomal RNA (616 nucleotides) under uncultured bacterium. RNAcentral's name for it is "bacterial SSU rRNA". It matches the Rfam family "Bacterial small subunit ribosomal RNA", at positions 193 to 828 of the family's 1533-position model. The record is from RNAcentral.
ACAAAAAGCUAAAGCUUUUGGUGGUAUACGAUGGAUCCGCGUCUGAUUAGCUGGUUGGCGGGGUAAAGGCCCACCAAGGCGACGAUCAGUAGCCGGCCUGAGAGGGUGAACGGCCACAUUGGGACUGAGACACGGCCCAAACUCCUACGGGAGGCAGCAGUGGGGAAUAUUGCACAAUGGGGGAAACCCUGAUGCAGCGACGCCGCGUGAGUGAAGAAGUAUUUCGGUAUGUAAAGCUCUAUCAGCAGGGAAGAAAAUGACGGUACCUGACUAAGAAGCCCCGGCUAACUACGUGCCAGCAGCCGCGGUAAUACGUAGGGGGCAAGCGUUAUCCGGAUUUACUGGGUGUAAAGGGAGCGUAGACGGCAGCGCAAGUCUGGAGUGAAAUCCCAUGGCUUAACCAUGGAACUGCUUUGGAAACUGUGCAGCUGGAGUGCAGGAGAGGUAAGCGGAAUUCCUAGUGUAGCGGUGAAAUGCGUAGAUAUUAGGAGGAACACCAGUGGCGAAGGCGGCUUACUGGACUGUAACUGACGUUGAGGCUCGAAAGCGUGGGGAGCAAACAGGAUUAGAUACCCUGGUAGUCCACGCUGUAAACGAUGAUUACUAGGUGUUGGGG